This 370-nucleotide RNase P RNA is filed under the name Cellvibrio japonicus. Its description in RNAcentral is "RNase P RNA component class A". It matches the Rfam family "Bacterial RNase P class A". Rfam says of the family: Ribonuclease P (RNase P) is a ubiquitous endoribonuclease, found in archaea, bacteria and eukarya as well as chloroplasts and mitochondria. Its best characterised activity is the generation of mature 5'-ends of tRNAs by cleaving the 5'-leader elements of precursor-tRNAs. The record is from RNAcentral. RNAcentral also lists the same sequence under 1 other name. Lineage: Bacteria; Pseudomonadati; Pseudomonadota; Gammaproteobacteria; Cellvibrionales; Cellvibrionaceae.
GGAGUUGGCCAGGCAAUCGCUCCGCGCAUACCUUCCAUUGCUGGAUAAGGUGCGCCGGGGAGGAAAGUCCGGGCUCCAUAGGGCAGAGUGCCAGGUAACACCUGGGAGGCGUGAGCCUACGGAAAGUGCAACAGAGAGUAGACCGCCCAAGCACGCAAGUGCCGGUAAGGGUGAAAGGGUGCGGUAAGAGCGCACCGCGCAACUGGUAACAGGCUGCGGCUAGGUAAACCCCACUCGGAGCAAGACCAAAUAGGGGUCCAUUGGUGUGGCCCGCACUGGACCCGGGUAGGUUGCUUGAGGCCUGUGGUGACACAGGUCCCAGAUGAAUGAUUGCCCACGACAGAACCCGGCUUAUCGGCCGACUCCUUUA